This 291-nucleotide long non-coding RNA is filed under the name Calidris pugnax (ruff). RNAcentral's name for it is "lncRNA (ENSCPUG00000003390.1)". The record is from RNAcentral. Lineage: Eukaryota; Metazoa; Chordata; Aves; Charadriiformes; Scolopacidae.
AUGUUGUGUUUGCCUUUUUUUAAGAUGCCAGGAGAAACUGCCUCUACCUGCAAGAAAGGCGCACGAUGGCAUUUGGGGAUGGGAGUCCUCCUCCGGCACCGGAUCACUGGAGGCAAACAUCGAAUUAAUUGGAUCUCAAUGACUGAGGGUAGAGCACAGCGAGGCAAGGCAACCCCAGCUGGAAAACAGUGCUUUUUGAGAUUUCUCCAUAGCACGGCUCCGCUUAAUACUCGGAUUUUCAAAAAUAAUAUGACAAAGGAAAAUAAAAGGCAUGCCAAAAUGUAUUGCUAG